AUGCAGGCUUGGACUUGGGCCCACUGCCCCAGGCCGGGGCUUCCAUUGGACUUGGGGUGUGCACUUGUUUAAGGUCUCCCCAAGCAGGAGAGCCUACCUCAAAUUUUGUGGCAGCAGAGGCCUGCCUUUCGAGGCCCUUAA
RNAcentral lists this small nuclear RNA (141 nucleotides) under Theobroma cacao (cacao). Its description in RNAcentral is "snRNA U1". It matches the Rfam family "U1 spliceosomal RNA". From Rfam's summary of the family: U1 is a small nuclear RNA (snRNA) component of the spliceosome (involved in pre-mRNA splicing). Its 5' end forms complementary base pairs with the 5' splice junction, thus defining the 5' donor site of an intron. Lineage: Eukaryota; Viridiplantae; Streptophyta; Magnoliopsida; Malvales; Malvaceae. The record is from RNAcentral.